UGGGGAAUAUUGCACAAUGGGCGAAAGCCUGAUGCAGCAACGCCGCGUGAGUGAUGAAGGUCUUCGGAUUGUAAAGCUCUGUCUUUUGGGACGAUAAUGACGUACCAAAGGAGGAAGCCACGGCUAACUACGUGCCAGCAGCCGCGGUAAUACGUAGGUGGCGAGCGUUGUCCGGAUUUACUGGGCGUAAAGGGUGCGUAGGCGGAUGUUUAAGUGAGAUGUGAAAUACCCGGGCUUAACUUGGGUGCUGCAUUUCAAACUGGAUAUCUAGAGUGCAGGAGAGGAGAAUGGAAUUCCUAGUGUAGCGGUGAAAUGCGUAGAGAUUAGGAAGAACACCAGUGGCGAAGGCGAUUCUCUGGACUGUAACUGACGCUGAGGCACGAAAGCGUGGGUAGCAAACAGGAUUAGAUACCCUGGUAGUCCACGCCGUAAACGAUGAGUACUAGGUGUAGGAGGUAUCGACCCCUUCUGUGCCGCAGUAAACACAUUAAGUACUCCGCCUGGGAAGUACGAUCGCAAGAUU
Molecule: ribosomal RNA, 523 nt
Filed under: uncultured bacterium
Lineage: Bacteria
Description: partial 16S ribosomal RNA
Rfam family: Bacterial small subunit ribosomal RNA
Source: RNAcentral